This 1339-nucleotide long non-coding RNA is filed under the name Danio rerio (zebrafish). RNAcentral describes it as "lncRNA (ENSDARG00000117732.1)". The record is from RNAcentral. Lineage: Eukaryota; Metazoa; Chordata; Actinopteri; Cypriniformes; Danionidae.
AAUAGUCUAUCUGAAAUCACACGCAGACACUAGCCAAACUACGAUCCAAAUAGUAUGCAAAGGACAUUGCUGGUGCUGCUCAACUGUCUGGAAACCCUAUGGCACGUUAUGUAUUUACAAAGUAAUUUAAAAUAUUUUUUUGAACUCGCUUUUUUAAUUAAUUUGUUUUUUUAAGGAGGAAAAGUUUUAUCAAUAACAUGUUAUGUUAAGUCCGUGGUGUGAGAUUACAGCUAUUAUUUUAACUUGAAAUGUUUACCGUGUUCCUAUCUGAAUUUCUUGGACUGAGAAGCAGUUCCAUAUCCAUGGCAUCUUGUAGUGCAGCAGCGGUGACGAGCCUUGCUACCCUGUCACCUUGGCGUUUUCCCGCGCGCGCCCUCGAAGUCAUUGCAUUUCCAUGGGCUAUAGCGCCGCUCAGUGGAUAUGUCUGAUCUUUUCUGCUCACUUACACUUCAUGGAAAUCUUAGACGAUAAUAAUCAGAGACGUCAUGUGCUUCACUCCUUUAUUUUCUUGUUCGAAUGUUUAAAUUUGUAAUUUCCCGGACGUUAUAUUAUGUUAUAUUUUCUGUAAUGAUCCCUUAAUAAGAAGCAUUGCGCGUGACUCUGUAAACUGACCACGCGGUGUUUGUUGACGUAGUGUGUAGCCUGUUCACAAACACGACUGGAAGGAAAUAACACUGUUGAAAAAUAAGUCACAGAUGCGGAAAUCAGAGAAGGACCUUAAAUGGGAGCAAUUCUAGUUAAAUAGAAGAAGAUGGAGAAUUAUCGAUCCCUUAUCCCGAAGGUAUCCACCGUAUGCAGAUGUCCCAAAGGUGCACCAGAGAAGGGUCCUGAGAGCGUCGGGGUGGUGGCCCAGCGCUGCACCCGCAACAUUGUUGGAGCAGAGCACCAUCUUCAGGAGCCAGACUGGAGCGGAUACAAGAGCCCUGCAGCACACCAACACAUGUGAACAUCCUUUAUGAGAUUACAGCCCAACCUCAGAUGCUGCCCGGCACACCGAGAUCAGAUCAUGUUUAUGGCAGAUGUCCACCUUUGUCAUCGAGUCCUUCUAACUGAACUUGGCAAUGGAGGGGCACCUUUAGAACCUGCUGGCCCUGCGCUGAAAGGAGAGAUGCGGUGCUCACGUCAUGCCUUUCUUGCUGUAAUAACAGUCACCGAGCCUUCAACCCUACCGCAUUCAGCUAUAAUUGCCCCCGACAGCAGGGCAAAUCAUCAGCGCAGGGAUCUGAUAAGCAUUACAGCCAGAUGACAGCACACAGAAGUGUAUUAGCAACACUGUGACAUAUCGCAUUACCACUGUGAAUAAAAUAAAGCCAAUAUAGAACACUGUGGCAGUCAAGUG